This is a long non-coding RNA of Sceloporus undulatus (fence lizard), 756 nucleotides long. RefSeq lists it as uncharacterized. Lineage: Eukaryota; Metazoa; Chordata; Lepidosauria; Squamata; Phrynosomatidae. The transcript has 4 exons. The record is from RefSeq and is a predicted model, not a curated record.
AGGUUUUGGUUUUAAGAACUAUGCUGCAUGACAGUACAAAUAUCUGUAUUGCUAAAUAUAAUAAAAGAACAGAGGAAACAGCUGCGUCCCAUCAUUGCCACAUAAGCUGGAUAUGAGGGUACAGAAUCCUGGCAUGCAGAAGGAAGAGCAAGAAUCAGCCCUGAAGCCUAACUCUCCUUUUGCAGCUGUCCAUUCCUAACAGUGAAUGGAAAGGAAGAGCUUCCUUGACCUGGAAUUCUUAGCUGGAAGUUUUUUAGCUGCAUUAGCAUGGUGAGGAUGAUGGAAGGCGAAACAUGGGCCUUCAGUGCUGGAUUGCAGCAGCAUGUCUGCAGUACACAAUGUCAUAAAGCCUGAGCUGAGAAACAACUGAAUUCUACUUUAACCAGCCAUACUGUAGCUCUGCAUGCCUGCCUCAAACAGACAAGGUUCAAAGGAGGAGUAUGAAACAAGAACAUUUCUCAUGCCUUGUCCUACUCAGUUUCAUGCCUUACUUCCUCAAAAGAAGAGCUCAUUUUACAAUGAAUGCAACAAAUGACUCAGUGUGCCAAAGAACGUCAAUCGUAAUGUUAUUCUACAUCCUUUAGCAGCCUCUAGUGGUUCUUGUAAAAAGUGAACUCAGAAUACUGUAUAACUCACAGAUUAGAGAAGAUUAGAUUAGAAAUACAUUAUCAGAAACACUGGUUGUCCUUGUUUUGAUCUAAUUCUGACCUAAUAUUAUGAUUUGUCUAGUGCUAAUUUAUUUGGAAGUGUAUAUAU